AUUAGCAUGGUCCCUGCUCAAGGAUGACAAACAAAUUUGUGAAGUGUUCCAUUAAAAA
This 58-nucleotide small nuclear RNA is filed under the name Choloepus hoffmanni (Hoffmann's two-fingered sloth). The record is from RNAcentral. Lineage: Eukaryota; Metazoa; Chordata; Mammalia; Pilosa; Megalonychidae.